Arvicanthis niloticus (Nile rat) is the source of this 513-nucleotide non-coding RNA. The record is from RefSeq and is a predicted model, not a curated record. Lineage: Eukaryota; Metazoa; Chordata; Mammalia; Rodentia; Muridae.
CCCAGCCAGCCAAUCAGCAAGGAGCCUUGCCGGAAGGAUGACGCUCUAGGAAGGAAGUGGAGGAUGGGGCGGGCUUGGCGCUGGCGAGGCUGUAGGCAGAGGAAAUCCUUGCCAGCGGCCGGGCAAGAAUUCCAGUGCAGUUAACAGUUAAAGGCCUUUUCGUCGCUUCGCAGCCACAAACGAUUGUUUCCUUAGGAAUCUCACCAGAAAUACGUUUACAGGUGAAGGACAUGUACUAAACCCCCUGCGGCGCCUGGUUUUAAUUUUAUUAUAUUGUAAUUCCAUACUACGAACCAUCCUAUAAGUUCACUUAACAGAGAGAGAGAGAAACCGAGUGGUUCUUAGCAACCUUUUACUAUGUAACUUAACCACCAAAGAGGUAUCUGGCUAACGCGGCAGCUUUCAAGGAGUCCGUAUUUACACGUUGUAUUGCUUUUGUUUCCCUGUGUGCCUUCCACGCCUCGAGUAUGCCUAUGUUAAAGUUAUCUUCAAUAAAGCCUCAAGCUCUUCACA